AAGUUUUUUUGCCAUGCUUUGGAUGGAGAAGAGACCAGCAGCCCUGUGAGGUCUCAGGAGGAGCUGGGGCCUGUGGCCACUACGACAGGUCUGACCACUGCAAUGGCUGAACAUCCAGAGCUUCCCUCCAGAAAGUCAUCUUCUCCCCAAAGGAGGAGUGCUGUCAGACUGAUACCCAGGAGGACAGGCAGCAUGGUGGUAGCAGGAGAAGAUGAAAGAAGCCUGAGUUCUGAGUAUUAGAUGGAAGAACUAAAAUGAAUUAGAACUGGAGAAGAAGAUGGGAGAUUGCCCCAGUGGAUGAUAUUAAAAAAAAAGAGAUUAAUUCUAAAAUUCUAAAAUAUGGACCUACAAAAGACCUCAAAUAGACAAAGAAGUCUUGCUCAAGAAGAACUAACUAGGGGCUAUGAAUGUAUGUCAUUUGUUACUGUUUGCCUAGCAUGCACAAAGCCCCUGAGUUCUAUCCCUAGUACCUCAUAAACCAGGUAGGUAUGUGGCUAGUGGCACCAGUCUGUCAUCCCAGCACUUUGGAGGAAGAGCCAUGGGAAGUUCAAGCUCAUCUGUCACUGCAAAGCUACUUUGAGGGUAGCUUGAGAUACACGAGACCAUAUAAUCUUUUUGAAGCAAGAAAUGCCACUCUUCCUAAUUUUAGCGUACAUUACAAAAACAUUACAAAGCUACAUUGUCAAGAACAAUAUGUCACCGGCAUAAAAAUGGGCACAUACAACAGUGGAAGAGCAUAAAAAGCUCAGAAAUAAACUUCUAUGGCUCUAGUCAGCUGAUCUUCAACAAAGAUGCCCUAGGGUGAAGGAAGCAGGUUUAUCGGUUGGAGUUCUCGAGGCAAGCUCUCCGUGGUCAGACUAAGAGGAGAAAAGCAGGCUCCUUGUGAUGUACAUGAACACGCACAUGAACGCAGGAGCCCCUCUUCAUAUUACACAUGGACACAGGAGCCCCACAAGACACAAAACUCGAAGAAGGGCCAGAUGACUGAGACACAUCUCCCACUUCAUCCGGGCAAGGGAAGCAAUUUCAGAAGGAGAGUAAAUGAUUUCUGGUGAGAAUGAAUAGAAAAAAAAAAAAAAAAAAGAACAAAACAAAACAAAAAACAGAAAACAACACAGCCUGGGACCAAGGUCCUCAGGGGUGCAAACCACGGUGGGGACACAUGGAGCAACGCAGCUACUGUGACUGUCCUCCUUCGCAAACAAUAGCCACUCCAGUGACAGCCUUCCAGGAGGAUGUGCUGACCACCCACCCACCCCACCCCCAUCUCUUGUGUACUGAUUCAUCUUCCCUGGUAAUGCAGUUUCGAGGAGAGAAUCGACCGUUCUCCACAUCCCUUGGAACAUCUCCAUCUAGAAGAUAAGGGAACAUAGGAAGUCAAAGCCAGAGGGAAAUGAUCCCACACUUGUUAACUUGGGUGAGUCUUGCAAAGAUUCUGGGAUACAGACAAACAGACAAUUCCAGUUCAGCUGAGGUUAAGUGGCAUAGCCAAGGUUACCCCGGGAACAUAAGCUUGAACCUGAUUGAUUCUAAGUUCCCUUGACUUCCCAUUCUAAAGUAUCAAAUUGCGUCUUGCUGGGCUCCUGCGUUCAUGUAUCUUGAUUUCUGUCCUCUCCCCAUGGCUUCACAAACGUGUAUAUAGAGUUUUCACACCAUUGAUAUAAUAAGAGUAAAUGGUUUCAUAAUGAGAGUGUUAAACUAUUAUUGUGUUUCCGCACUGGACCUUAAGGCUAUGUGCGGAUGGCCCUGGUAACACGCAGGCAGGAAUCUUGAAUUAAUUUCUGCUGCCCUCUUGUGUCAGAGACUAGCAACGACGCCCGAGGAGAAAACAGGCACCUUGGCUUCAGUCUAAUUUCUUUCCUUUUAUUCAUCGAGGGAUCGUGCCACUCUGAGAGAAGAAGUCUGAAUUCUAAAAUUUGAUCUGUUCCAGAGAAUCUUAGCUCGCUCGAAACACUCAGUGAAAGAGAAAAGAAUGUAACUGUUUCCUUAAAACCAACCAUUUCAGUAUGUAAUGGGAUAAAAUUAAAUCAAUACAACACAAUGC
This 2044-nucleotide long non-coding RNA is filed under the name Mus pahari (shrew mouse). RNAcentral describes it as "predicted gene 13264 (MGP_PahariEiJ_G0004742.1)". The record is from RNAcentral. Lineage: Eukaryota; Metazoa; Chordata; Mammalia; Rodentia; Muridae.